CAGUAGCCGCGGUAACACGUAGGUGGCAAGCGUUGUCCGGAAUUAUUGGGCGUAAAGGGCUCGCAGGCGGUUUCUUAAGUCUGAUGUGAAAGCCCCCGGCUCAACCGGGGAGGGUCAUUGGAAACUGGGAAACUUGAGUGCAGAAGAGGAGAGUGGAAUUCCACGUGUAGCGGUGAAAUGCGUAGAGAUGUGGAGGAACGCCAGUGGCGAAGGCGACUCUCUGGUCUGUAACUGACGCUGAGGAGCGAAAGCGUGGGGAGCGAACAGGAUUAGAUACCCCGGUAGUCCCUGUCUCUUAUAA
Molecule: ribosomal RNA, 301 nt
Filed under: uncultured bacterium
Lineage: Bacteria
Description: partial 16S ribosomal RNA
Rfam family: Bacterial small subunit ribosomal RNA
Source: RNAcentral